CGCUGGCGGCAGGCCUAACACAUGCAAGUCGAGCGGAUGAGAGGAGCUUGCUCCUUGAUUUAGCGGCGGACGGGUGAGUAAUGCCUAGGAAUCUGCCUGGUAGUGGGGGGUAACGUUCCGAAAGGAACGCUAAUACCGCAUACGUCCUACGGGAGAAAGCAGGGGACCUUCGGGCCUUGCGCUAUCAGAUGAGCCUAGGUCGGAUUAGCUAGUUGGUGAGGUAAUGGCUCACCAAGGCGACGAUCCGUAACUGGUCUGAGAGGAUGAUCAGUCACACUGGAACUGAGACACGGUCCAGACUCCUACGGGAGGCAGCAGUGGGGAAUAUUGGACAAUGGGCGAAAGCCUGAUCCAGCCAUGCCGCGUGUGUGAAGAAGGUCUUCGGAUUGUAAAGCACUUUAAGUUGGGAGGAAGGGCAGUAAGUUAAUACCUUGCUGUUUUGACGUUACCGACAGAAUAAGCACCGGCUAACUUCGUGCCAGCAGCCGCGGUAAUACGAAGGGUGCAAGCGUUAAUCGGAAUUACUGGGCGUAAAGCGCGCGUAGGUGGUUCGUUAAGUUGGAUGUGAAAGCCCCGGGCUCAACCUGGGAACUGCAUCCAAAACUGGCGAGCUAGAGUACGGUAGAGGGUGGUGGAAUUUCCUGUGUAGCGGUGAAAUGCGUAGAUAUAGGAAGGAACACCAGUGGCGAAGGCGACCACCUGGACUGAUACUGACACUGAGGUGCGAAAGCGUGG
This 735-nucleotide ribosomal RNA is filed under the name uncultured bacterium. Its description in RNAcentral is "bacterial SSU rRNA". It matches the Rfam family "Bacterial small subunit ribosomal RNA", at positions 34 to 764 of the family's 1533-position model. The record is from RNAcentral.